This 1344-nucleotide ribosomal RNA is filed under the name uncultured bacterium. RNAcentral describes it as "bacterial SSU rRNA". It matches the Rfam family "Bacterial small subunit ribosomal RNA", at positions 39 to 1378 of the family's 1533-position model. The record is from RNAcentral.
GCUACAGGCUUAACACAUGCAAGUCGAGGGGCAGUAUGGUCUUAGCUUGCUAAGGCCGAUGGCGACCGGCGCACGGGUGAGUAACAUGUAUCCAACCUGCCGUCUACUCUUGGACAGCCUUCUGAAAGGAAGAUUAAUACAAGAUGGCAUCAUGAGUCCGCAUGUUCACAUGAUUAAAGGUAUUCCGGUAGACGAUGGGGAUGCGUUCCAUUAGAUAGUAGGCGGGGUAACGGCCCACCUAGUCUUCGAUGGAUAGGGGUUCUGAGAGGAAGGUCCCCCACAUUGGAACUGAGACACGGUCCAAACUCCUACGGGAGGCAGCAGUGAGGAAUAUUGGUCAAUGGGCGAGAGCCUGAACCAGCCAAGUAGCGUGAAGGAUGACUGCCCUAUGGGUUGUAAACUUCUUUUAUAAAGGAAUAAAGUCGGGUAUGCAUACCCGUUUGCAUGUACUUUAUGAAUAAGGAUCGGCUAACUCCGUGCCAGCAGCCGCGGUAAUACGGAGGAUCCGAGCGUUAUCCGGAUUUAUUGGGUUUAAAGGGAGCGUAGAUGGAUGUUUAAGUCAGUUGUGAAAGUUUGCGGCUCAACCGUAAAAUUGCAGUUGAUACUGGAUAUCUUGAGUGCAGUUGAGGCAGGCGGAAUUCGUGGUGUAGCGGUGAAAUGCUUAGAUAUCACGAAGAACUCCGAUUGCGAAGGCAGCCUGCUAAGCUGCAACUGACAUUGAGGCUCGAAAGUGUGGGUAUCAAACAGGAUUAGAUACCCUGGUAGUCCACACGGUAAACGAUGAAUACUCGCUGUUUGCGAUAUACUGCAAGCGGCCAAGCGAAAGCGUUAAGUAUUCCACCUGGGGAGUACGCCGGCAACGGUGAAACUCAAAGGAAUUGACGGGGGCCCGCACAAGCGGAGGAACAUGUGGUUUAAUUCGAUGAUACGCGAGGAACCUUACCCGGGCUUAAAUUGCAGAUGAAUUACGGUGAAAGCCGUAAGCCGCAAGGCAUCUGUGAAGGUGCUGCAUGGUUGUCGUCAGCUCGUGCCGUGAGGUGUCGGCUUAAGUGCCAUAACGAGCGCAACCCUUGUUGUCAGUUACUAACAGGUUCCGCUGAGGACUCUGACAAGACUGCCAUCGUAAGAUGUGAGGAAGGUGGGGAUGACGUCAAAUCAGCACGGCCCUUACGUCCGGGGCUACACACGUGUUACAAUGGGGGGUACAGAGGGCCGCUACCACGCGAGUGGAUGCCAAUACCCAAAACCUCUCUCAGUUCGGACUGGAGUCUGCAACCCGACUCCACGAAGCUGGAUUCGCUAGUAAUCGCGAAUCAGCCACGGCGCGGUGAAUACGUUCCCGGG